RNAcentral lists this ribosomal RNA (253 nucleotides) under uncultured bacterium. RNAcentral describes it as "partial 16S ribosomal RNA". It matches the Rfam family "Bacterial small subunit ribosomal RNA", at positions 524 to 776 of the family's 1533-position model. The record is from RNAcentral.
UACAGAGGGUGCAACCGUUGCUCGGAAUUAUUGGGCGUAAAGCGCGUGUAGGCGGCCCGUUAUGUCGGCUGUGAAAGCCCAUGGCUCAACCAUGGAAGUGCAGCCGAAACUGGCGGGCUAGAGUCCUGGAGAGGGUGGCGGAAUGCCCAGUGUAGAGGUGAAAUUCGUAGAUAUUGGGUAGAACACCGGUGGCGAAGGCGGCCACCUGGACAGCGACUGACGCUAAGACGCGAAAGCGUGGGGAGCGAACAGG